UUGGGUUUAUAGGUUUCUGCCUAGGGUUUAGAUUUACUAAGUAAAUGUUUGGGUAUAGUAAACCAUAUUAUAUACAUUCUAUUUGGGUUUGUACUUCCUUGAUUAGGGUUUAGCUUAAUCUAUUUAUUUAGGUUUAGGGUUUAGGGUAUAUUUGGAUUAGGGUUUAGUGACUAGAACUUAGGGUUUAGUAUUUAGAAGGUGAGGGGGUAUGGUUGGGAUCAGCAUUAACUUCUUUCAUGCAAUCAUAGACAUUAUAUUUGGGUUUAAAUUUAGUAACUAGGGAGUUUGUUUAAGGUUUAAUAUUUAAAUGGGUGGUAUGGUUUAGGAUUUUGUGAUUAAGAUAUAGGGUUUAGUAUUUGAAAGGUGAGGGUUGAGUUUUGGGUUUAGUGAUAACAGUUUAGGGUUUAAUAUUUAAAGUUGGGUGUGAGUUAGUCAUUCUAUAGUAUUGAUAAGUUCUAUACUAUUUGAGACAAUAGUUCUAUACUAUUUAUUAAAUAUGUAAUAAUUUGCCAUGUUAUAGGUUUCUUGUUAGGGUUUAGAUUGUCUCAUAUUGAAAAAUAGUUUAUAGAUUGUAUUUGGGUUUAUAGGUUCCUGGUUAGGGUUUAGAUU
This 609-nucleotide long non-coding RNA is filed under the name Brassica napus (rape). RNAcentral describes it as "long non-coding RNA (BNAP_LNC021826)". Lineage: Eukaryota; Viridiplantae; Streptophyta; Magnoliopsida; Brassicales; Brassicaceae. The record is from RNAcentral.